GUAGGUGAACCUGCGGAAGGAUCAUUAAAAAAUGAAGGGCCCCGGGGGCCGUCUAAAAAACCCGUAGCCAGAAAGGCGUCACCCGGUUUUUUUUUCCGGGAGGCGCCCAACGGUGAACCCUCUGUGAAAACCCUUGUUGCUUCGGCAGCGCCUUCCCCUCUCGCCUCGCGGCGGGGGGGUAAGGGUCAGCCUGCCGGCGGCACACUUGAAAACCCUUCAUGCAAACUAGCAUUUAGAACGUCUGAGAGCGCAGUCGAAUGACACUUAAAACUUUCAACAACGGAUCUCUUGGUUCCC
This 297-nucleotide unclassified non-coding RNA is filed under the name rhizosphere metagenome. Its description in RNAcentral is "partial ribosomal RNA internal transcribed spacer region". The record is from RNAcentral.